GUAAGCCGUGUGAGGGAAAACUUCAUGCACGGUUUGAUGCAGGGGGUACUGCUAUCCGAAAUUUAUUAACUUAGCAAU
Molecule: non-coding RNA, 78 nt
Filed under: Galbibacter orientalis DSM 19592
Lineage: Bacteria; Pseudomonadati; Bacteroidota; Flavobacteriia; Flavobacteriales; Flavobacteriaceae
Source: RNAcentral